Long non-coding RNA from Telopea speciosissima, 152 nucleotides. RefSeq lists it as uncharacterized. NCBI's taxonomy places the organism in Eukaryota, Viridiplantae, Streptophyta, Magnoliopsida, Proteales, Proteaceae. The record is from RefSeq and is a predicted model, not a curated record. The transcript is spliced from 3 exons.
UAAACCGUUUGUUAACUAACACUGGAUUUGGUAUGUCUUGUUCUGUGCCUCUGCUACUGCUCCGCAACUGCUGAGAGCUGAAAGAAUUGCUUGAUUUCGAUUCGAAGAGGACGUGAGAGAGAGAGAGAGAGAGAGAGAGAUGCUAUGUACUA